ACUUCCGGCGUACGUACGCCUCCUCUUGCGUUCUCAUGUUAAUGGCGGGCGGCGGCUGCUGACAGGGACGCAGAUAACCGCUGCCCGCACCGGGAAAGUCUCCCUGCCUCUCCCCCUUUCCGCUCACCGCCACUACUCGCCAACAUGUCCGUGGUGCCGCCCAAUCGCUCGCAGACCGGCUGGCCCCGGGGGGUCAACCAGUUCGGCAACAAGUACAUCCAGCAGACCAAGCCCCUCACCUUGGAGCGCACUAUCAACCUGUACCCUCUUACCAAUUAUACUUUUGGUACAAAAGAACCUCUCUAUGAGAAGGACAGCUCUGUUGCAGCCAGAUUUCAACGCAUGAGGGAGGAAUUUGAUAAAAUUGGAAUGAGGAGGACUGUAGAAGGGGUUCUGAUUGUACAUGAGCACCGACUACCCCAUGUGCUACUGCUACAGCUGGGAACAACUUUCUUCAAACUACCUGGUGGUGAACUUAACCCAGGAGAAGAUGAAGUUGAAGGACUAAAACGCUUAAUGACAGAGAUACUAGGUCGUCAAGAUGGAGUCCUGCAAGACUGGGUCAUUGAUGACUGCAUUGGUAACUGGUGGAGACCAAAUUUUGAACCUCCUCAGUAUCCAUAUAUUCCUGCGCAUAUUACAAAACCGAAGGAACAUAAGAAGUUAUUUUUGGUUCAACUUCAAGAGAAAGCCUUGUUUGCAGUCCCUAAAAAUUACAAGCUGGUAGCCGCACCAUUGUUUGAAUUGUAUGACAAUGCCCCAGGAUACGGACCCAUCAUUUCUAGUCUCCCUCAGCUUUUGAGCAGGUUCAAUUUUAUAUACAACUGAACUCCUGCACAGUGGAGAAGUGAAAGAGGCCGUCUCUGUGAGCACAGCUCUGCACAGCAUAGAAUAAACAUGGGCCAUGGUAAAAUGGCGAUUUGUAAAGGAAGUUUCUAAAAGUGGGUGAGUUAGGUUUUGAACUUUUGGAUUGCAAAAUUAUUUCAAUUAACUUGAAGGUAUAUCCAUAGAGAUGAAAAUUUGAUUUUAGCAAGUGACACAAAACCUUUUCAAAAAUAUGUUAGAAUAAUCUGAAAUUUAAGGACAGGAUAGGGGAUAGAUUUUUGUCAGCCUAAGAGAAAAACAACAAAUUUAAAAAAUACUGCUAAAUUAGUGUC
RNA transcript from Molossus molossus (Pallas's mastiff bat), 1157 nucleotides. It is a transcript of the gene named nudix hydrolase 21, with no coding region annotated. Lineage: Eukaryota; Metazoa; Chordata; Mammalia; Chiroptera; Molossidae. The transcript has 8 exons. The record is from RefSeq and is a predicted model, not a curated record.